Molecule: long non-coding RNA, 1419 nt
Organism: Populus trichocarpa (black cottonwood)
Lineage: Eukaryota; Viridiplantae; Streptophyta; Magnoliopsida; Malpighiales; Salicaceae
Exons: 2
Source: RefSeq, a predicted model, not a curated record
UUUUUAUUUUUUAAAAAUUAUUUUUAAAAUUAAUGUAUUAAAAUAAUAAAAAAAUAUAAAAAAAAUUAAUUUUUAGUUAAAAAUAACAAAAAAAAAUUAAUUUUUUUUUUGAAAACGCGGGCAAACGGGCUCUUUAUACAUAGUUUGAAACAAUGUUUGGUUUCAGACUUACUUACUCGAUGGGUUUUUUCUUUUUAUGUAUUUCAUUUCACUUCUCUGUUGUUGGAUUCAUAUUUAGGUAUGUUUUCCUGCCGUGUACAGUGACAUCCUCUCUGGGGUUGGAUAGAUAAUUUCUAGUUUUUACAGGACAUGAGUAUGAAUAACGAUAAAGAUGAAAAUGUUUUUAGGUUAAAUUAGGUUCAUAUGCAGUAUUUUCCUUUUCAAGGGUGGAAAAAUGGGAGAAUUCUUGGUGAUUCUUGCUGCUGCUGCUUUCAUAAUAAGUUGCGGGGGUCAAGUCCAGUCAGAUGUAUCUGAUCAUCGCUAUAAAGCUGGAGAUCUGAUCCCUUGCUAUGCGAGGGGAACUGGUCCAUUUCACAAUCUCAGGUUUUGUCAAUGAGAAGAAGCAAACUCUACGUGACAUAUUGACUGGGGAUCAAUAUUUAACUUCUCCAUAUAAACUUGAAUUCCUAGUAAAUGAAGAUUCUGAAUUUGUGUGCGAAAGGAACUUGACAAAGGAAGAAGUUUUGAAGUUACAAGAUGCAGUUGGGAAGGACUAUUACAUUCAAAUGUACUGUGAUGACAUGCCAAUUUGGACAUUUAUAGGAAGAAUGGACAACAAAAAGAAAAGAUAUUUUCUCUACAUGGAUUUUGAUUUCAGCAUAUAUUACAAUAAGGAACAUCUGAUCGAGAUUUCUGCUUGAACUGACCUUUCUGAUUGUGUGGAACUGAUUGAGGAAAGGGAAGUUCACAUGAAAAUGAAAUAUACUGUGACAUGGAAGGAAACUAGCAGCCCUUUUGAGAAAAGGAUGGAAAAGUACUUUGGUGAUUCCUCACUGCCAUAUAUCUGGGAGAUCCGUUGGUUUUCAAUCUUAAAUUCAUGUGUUACUAUUCUCUUCCUAACUGGUCAGAUUUCGAUGUAUUACUUGUGAAUCCUUAAGAAAGAUCUUGAGUAAGAAUAUCGUGAAUCUGUGAUGUCUACCCAAAGUUCAAACUAUUUUUUUUAAAUUCUUUUUUCCUUUGGAUUAUUGAACUCUCUUACAUGCGUUUCCAUGAUGAGGAGUUAUUUGAAAACCAAGACAAGACGGGAUGGAAGUUUAUCCAUGGUAAUGUGUUCCGAUACCCAUACUACAAGUCAUUGUUUGCUGCUGCUGUUGGUUCUGGAACUCAGUUGUUUACCCUGUAUGUCCAUGCUUUGAAAUUAUUCACCCUGUAUUCUCUAAUUUGAUUAAAUUAUCUUAAAAUUAUUGAUUAUUUUGUGAA